CCUACGGGAGGCAGCAGUGAGGAAUAUUGGUCAAUGGCCGUAAGGCUGAACCAGCCAAGUCGCGUGAGGGAUGAAGGUUCUAUGGAUUGUAAACCUCUUUUAUAAGGGAAUAAAGUGCGCGACGUGUGGCGUUUUGCAUGUACCUUAUGAAUAAGCAUCGGCUAACUCCGUGCCAGCAGCCGCGGUAAUACGGAGGAUGCGAGCGUUAUCCGGAUUUAUUGGGUUUAAAGGGUGCGUAGGCGGGCUUUUAAGUCAGCGGUGAAAGUUUGUGGCUCAACCAUAGAAUUGCCGUUGAAACUGGGAGGCUUGAGUGUGUGUGAGGCAGGCGGAAUGCGUGGUGUAGCGGUGAAAUGCUUAGAUAUCACGCAGAACCCCGAUUGCGAAGGCAGCCUGCCAAGCCAUAACUGACGCUGAUGCACGAAAGCGUGGGGAUCAAACAGGAUUAGAUACCCCUGUAGUC
Molecule: ribosomal RNA, 460 nt
Filed under: uncultured bacterium
Lineage: Bacteria
Description: partial 16S ribosomal RNA
Rfam family: Bacterial small subunit ribosomal RNA
Source: RNAcentral